Molecule: ribosomal RNA, 502 nt
Filed under: uncultured bacterium
Lineage: Bacteria
Description: partial 16S ribosomal RNA
Rfam family: Bacterial small subunit ribosomal RNA
Source: RNAcentral
UGGGGAAUCUUGGACAAUGGGGGCAACCCUGAUCCAGCAAUGCCGCGUGUGGGAUGAAGGCCUUCGGGUUGUAAACCACUUUUGGCGGGGGCGAAAUAUCGAGUGCUAAUACCAUUCGGUGAUGACGGUACCCGCAGAAUAAGCACCGGCUAACUACGUGCCAGCAGCCGCGGUAAUACGUAGGGUGCAAGCGUUAAUCGGAAUUACUGGGCGUAAAGCGUGCGCGGGCGGUUAGGUAAGACAGGUGUGAAAUUCCCGGGCUCAACCUGGGAACUGCAUUUGUGACUGCCUGACUAGAGUGCGGCAGAGGGGAGUGGAAUUCCGCGUGUAGCAGUGAAAUGCGUAGAUAUGCGGAGGAACACCGAUGGCGAAGGCAACUCCCUGGGCCUGCACUGACGCUCAUGCACGAAAAGCGUGGGGAGCAAAACAGGAUUAGAUACCCUGGUAGUCCACGCCCUAAAACGAUGUCGACUAGUUGUUGGACGGGUUACUGUUCAGUAAC